UCCAGACUCCUACGGGAGGCAGCAGUGGGGAAUAUUGUACAAUGGGGGGAACCCUGAUGCAGCAACGCCGCGUGGGUGAAGAAGUACUUCGGUAUGUAAAGCCCUGUCAGCAGGGAAGAAAAUGACGGUACCCAAGGAGGAAGCACCGGCUAACUACGUGCCAGCAGCCGCGGUAAAACGUAGGGUGCAAGCGUUGUCCGGAAUUACUGGGUGUAAAGGGAGCGCAGGCGGAUUGACAAGUUGGGAGUGAAAACUACGGGCUCAACCCGUAACCUGCUUUCAAAACUGUCAGUCUUGAGUGGUGUAGAGGUAGGCGGAAUUCCCGGUGUAGCGGUGGAAUGCGUAGAUAUCGGGAGGAACACCAGUGGCGAAGGCGGCCUACUGGGCACUAACUGACGCUGAGGCUCGAAAGCAUGGGUAGCAAACAGGAUUAGAUACCCCAGUAGGA
RNAcentral lists this ribosomal RNA (448 nucleotides) under uncultured bacterium. RNAcentral's name for it is "bacterial SSU rRNA". It matches the Rfam family "Bacterial small subunit ribosomal RNA", at positions 330 to 795 of the family's 1533-position model. The record is from RNAcentral.